CAGUAGCCGCGGUAACACGAAGGGUGCAAGCGUUAAUCGGAAUUACUGGGCGUAAAGCGUGCGUAGGCGGUGAGUUAAGUCUGCUGUGAAAUCCCCGGGCUCAACCUGGGAAUGGCAGUGGAUACUGGCUCGCUAGAGUGUGUCAGAGGAUGGUGGAAUUCCCGGUGUAGCGGUGAAACGCGUAGAGAUCGGGAGGAACAUCAGUGGCGAAGGCGGCCAUCUGGGACAACACUGACGCUCAUGCACGAAAGCGUGGGGAGCAAACAGGAUUAGAUACCCCAGUAGUCCCUGUCUCUUAUAC
Molecule: ribosomal RNA, 301 nt
Filed under: uncultured bacterium
Lineage: Bacteria
Description: partial 16S ribosomal RNA
Rfam family: Bacterial small subunit ribosomal RNA
Source: RNAcentral